Cyprinus carpio (common carp) is the source of this 1466-nucleotide long non-coding RNA. The record is from Ensembl. NCBI's taxonomy places the organism in Eukaryota, Metazoa, Chordata, Actinopteri, Cypriniformes, Cyprinidae.
ACACUCUUUCUCUGUUGUGGAGACACAGUCUGUAGUAUGUCAGCCGGACGGACUCUCACUGCAGUGUUUUGUGUUUUCAUUGACAGAAAGCAUGAACCUGGUCUCACCUGACCUGCCCAACGGUGAGUGAUCACUGCUUCACACAGUAGGAGAGGAGCUGAUGAAAGAUGGUUUCUUAUGAACUUUGCACAUGGAAGGAUUUGAUUUGUGCAUCAGACCGGCUGAGAUUCCUGAUAAAUGAGAGAAUGAUUGUUAGUUUAAGAAGGAACAGUGUGUGAUGGGUUAAGACACGUUUGACAAGUUGCCCUUAGGGUUAAACUGAAGGUUUCAACCCAUUGCCUAAUAGAGCUUUUGAUGCUUGACUCACAGUAGAACAUCAGAGCUCAUUCAACUGUUUUCAAGAUAAACAUCUUAUUCUAUGGUUCUUUAGGAGCCCAUCUGUGCUUUAAGGGACCCAGAAAAAUCUAUAAUGAAACACCAAGAUCUUGUUUAAUAUCCAAAUAUAACAACUCAUAUGACAAGCAAGCUGCUGGAUUUUCUAAGGCAAUUCAAGUUAGACUUUACAAGUCUGCCAUCUAGUGGAGUCUAAACCCACAUACACAUUUAAAAUACGACCUUUUUCUAUAUCUACCCAGAGGAAUGAUGAUUGCUCUGAGAGUUCAGUUUGCUCUCUGUUUAAUCUCUGUACUGUCUAAAUGAAAUAAAUAGACAUUAAAGAGAUCUCAUUUGUGAUUUAUCUUUCUUAUGACUACAGAUGAGCUUCUGUAUUACAACGGAGCAGCUGCAGGUAUAAGAAAGAACUAUGUACAUUUAAAAAAGUAUUGAUUCAUCUAAACAAUCAAAAAUAAUUAUGAGCCUUAUUUUAAUGUCAAACUGUUUAAUUUAGAUGCAGGCAGCAGCAGUGCUGAGGCAGGAAAUAGUGCACCUCAAGUAAAUGACGUGCCCAAAACUGAAGAUGAAGCUCCAGACUCAGAGGAGGCGACAGCGGCUGUGAAACCCGCCCCGGUCCCAGUCCAGCGUGCAACCAAAUCCCACAAUGCAUCAGCACGCAAGCGGAGCAAGCCCAUCACUGCCUCAAAAAAGAGAUCAAGAAACCUCCGUCCCUGAGACAUGAACUGUGGAGAGAGAAACAGGGCAAAGCUGCAAUGACAAGGCAGUAACAGAAUGAGAAAAACAAAUGAUAUAGAUGAUGUUUUCAGAGGCAUUUUUUGUUUUUGUUUGUUUUGAGAAUCUUGAACUAGACUUUAUCCUCUGUGAUGUACUGAUUGGUUUGUGUUUGACUGUGUGUUUGUGUAGGUGUGAAUGCUUAUGACCUCUGUUAAAGGUCUGGUAAUGUGAGCUACACAAUGUGCUUGCCAAAUAUUCUUCCAAACUUUAUCCAGAGGCAAAGCUGACAUGGACACUUUAUAGGGUUGAUUUCAUUUUAGAUCAGACUAGAAAAUAAAUUUAUUGAAAAUUUCUAGACA